AACUGAUUGAUGGUGCUUGCACCUGAUUGACGAUGGAUCACCAGUGAGUGGCGGACGGGUGAGUAACACGUAGGUAACCUGCCCCGGAGCGGGGGAUAACAUUUGGAAACAGAUGCUAAUACCGCAUAACAGCAAAAGCCACAUGGCUUUUGCUUGAAAGAUGGCUUUGGCUAUCACUCUGGGAUGGACCUGCGGUGCAUUAGCUAGUUGGUAAGGUAACGGCUUACCAAGGCGAUGAUGCAUAGCCGAGUUGAGAGACUGAUCGGCCACAAUGGAACUGAGACACGGUCCAUACUCCUACGGGAGGCAGCAGUAGGGAAUCUUCCACAAUGGGCGCAAGCCUGAUGGAGCAACACCGCGUGAGUGAAGAAGGGUUUCGGCUCGUAAAGCUCUGUUGUUGGAGAAGAACGUGCGUGAGAGUAACUGUUCACGCAGUGACGGUAUCCAACCAGAAAGUCACGGCUAACUACGUGCCAGCAGCCGCGGUAAUACGUAGGUGGCAAGCGUUAUUCGGAUUUAUUGGGCGUAAAGCGAGCGCAGGCGGUUGCUUAGGUCUGAUGUGAAAGCCUUCGGCUUAACCGAAGAAGUGCAUCGGAAACCGGGCGACUUGAGUGCAGAAGAGGACAGUGGAACUCCAUGUGUAGCGGUGGAAUGCGUAGAUAUAUGGAAGAACACCAGUGGCGAAGGCGGCUGUCUGGUCUGCAACUGACGCUGAGGCUCGAAAGCAUGGGUAGCGAACAGGAUUAGAUACCCUGGUAGUCCAUGCCGUAAACGAUGAGUGCUAGGUGUUGGAGGGUUUCCGCCCUUCAGUGCCGGAGCUAACGCAUUAAGCACUCCGCCUGGGGAGUACGACCGCAAGGUUGAAACUCAAAGGAAUUGACGGGGGCCCGCACAAGCGGUGGAGCAUGUGGUUUAAUUCGAAGCUACGCGAAGAACCUUACCAGGUCUUGACAUCUUGCGCUAACCUUAGAGAUAAGGCGUUCCCUUCGGGGACGCAAUGACAGGUGGUGCAUGGUCGUCGUCAGCUCGUGUCGUGAGAUGUUGGGUUAAGUCCCGCAACGAGCGCAACCCUUGUUACUAGUUGCCAGCAUUAAGUUGGGCACUCUAGUGAGACUGCCGGUGACAAACCGGAGGAAGGUGGGGACGACGUCAGAUCAUCAUGCCCCUUAUGACCUGGGCUACACACGUGCUACAAUGGACGGUACAACGAGUCGCAAGCUCGCGAGAGUAAGCUAAUCUCUUAAAGCCGUUCUCAGUUCGGACUGUAGGCUGCAACUCGCCUACACGAAGUCGGAAUCGCUAGUAAUCGCGGAUCAGCAUGCCGCGGUGAAUACGUUCCCGGGCCUUGUACACACCGCCCGUCACACCAUGGGAGUUUGUAACGCCCAAAGUCGGUGGCUUAACCUU
This 1407-nucleotide ribosomal RNA is filed under the name Limosilactobacillus reuteri. Its description in RNAcentral is "bacterial SSU rRNA". It matches the Rfam family "Bacterial small subunit ribosomal RNA", at positions 65 to 1442 of the family's 1533-position model. The record is from RNAcentral. Lineage: Bacteria; Bacillati; Bacillota; Bacilli; Lactobacillales; Lactobacillaceae.